Molecule: non-coding RNA, 1593 nt
Organism: Talpa occidentalis (Iberian mole)
Lineage: Eukaryota; Metazoa; Chordata; Mammalia; Eulipotyphla; Talpidae
Source: the annotation of a RefSeq genome assembly
AUGGCCAGGCUGCUGGACGCCAGGCACACAGGUCCCUCGGUGGCACUGCCCGCUUCCCCGCAGGGUCCAUCGGUCUUCCCCCUGGGGCCCUGCUGCCGGGACAGCGCCCCCGACUCCUCCGUGGUGCUGGCCUGCCUGGUCACCGACUACUUUCCGGAUCUGGUGAACAUCACCUGGGACACCGGGUCGCUGGCCAGGAACGCCUCCACGACCUUUCCUGCCAUCCAGCAGAAGGCCUCCGGCCUCUACACCACCGCCAGCCAGGUGACCGUGUCCGGCGAGUGGGCCACGCAGCCGGUCACCUGCACUGUGGCGGGGGGCGGGCUGGGGCUCACCCGGCCCUCCUGCGCCCCAGCCUGCUCCAGGAACUUCACCAGCCCCAGCGUGAGGCUCUUCCACUCCUCCUGCGACCCCAGCGGCGACACCAGCACCCCCAUCCAGCUCCGGUGCUUCGUCUCCGGCUACCCCGGCACACACAUCAGGGUCACCUGGCUGGUGGACGGGCAUGAGCACGAAGACUUGAACACCUACACGGCCCCCGCGCAGCAGGAGGGCGAGCUGGCGUCCACCUACAGCGAGCUCAACACCACGCAGGGCCUCUGGGCAGCCCAGAGCACCUACACCUGCCAGGUCUCCUACCAAGGCUACACCUUUAAGGACGAAGCCCGCAAGUGCACAGAGUCCGAGCCCCGCGGCGUGAGCGCCUACGUGAUCCCACCCAGCCCCCUGGACCUGUAUGUCCACAAGUCACCCAAGAUCACCUGCCUGGUGGUGGACCUGGCCGGGGUCGACGGCAUGACCCUGACCUGGUCCCGGGAGAGCAAAACCCCCGUGCGCCAAGACCCGCCGGUCACCAAGAAACACUUCAACGGGACGUUCAGCGUCACGUCCACCCUGGAGGUGGACAUCAAUGACUGGACAGAGGAAGAGACCUACCGCUGCACAGUGGGCCACCCAGACCUGCCCAGGGAGAUCGUGCGCUCCAUCACCAGGCCCCCAGGCAAGCGCUCCAAACCGGAGGUCUACGUGCUCCAGCCGCCAGACGAGACCCAGGGCACCGGGGACAAGGUGACCCUCACCUGCCUGGUCCAGAACUUCUUCCCCGCGGACAUCUCCGUGCAGUGGCUGCAGAACGACAGCCCCGUCCCGAGGGAGGAGCAGGCCACCACGGGGCCCCGCAGGACCGGCGGCCCCGACCCCGCCUUCUUCGUCUUCAGCCGCCUGGAGGCCAGCCGGGCCGCCUGGGAGAAGGAGGACAGGUUCACCUGCCGCGUGGUGCACGAGGCCCUGCCCACGACCAGGAUCCUGGAGAAAUCGCUGUCCAAGCCCCCCGAGCUGGACCUCGCCGAGCUGUGCGUGCAGGAGCCUGAGGGCCAGGAGCUGGACGGCGCCUGGGCCGGCCUCCGGGUAUUCGCGGUGCUCUUCCUGCUCAGCGUGGCCUACGGCGCGGCCGUCACGGUGCUCAAGGUAAGCUGGGUCUUGGCGGCCGAGCAGCAGGACGGGCCUCCCGGCCCCCACGACUACACCAACGUGCGGCCCGUGGCCACCCGCACCCCGCAACACCCCCGCUGCCUGCUCUGUCCCUGCGCCUGA